AUUGAACGCUGGCGGCAGGCCUAACACAUGCAAGUCGAGCGGCAGCGGGAAAGUAGCUUGCUACUUUUGCCGGCGAGCGGCGGACGGGUGAGUAAUGCCUGGGGAUCUGCCCAGUCGAGGGGGAUAACUACUGGAAACGGUAGCUAAUACCGCAUACGCCCUACGGGGGAAAGCAGGGGACCUUCGGGCCUUGCGCGAUUGGAUGAACCCAGGUGGGAUUAGCCAGUUGGUGAGGUAACGGCUCACCAAGGCGACGAUCCCUAGCUGGUCUGAGAGGAUGAUCAGCCACACUGGAACUGAGACACGGUCCAGACUCCUACGGGAGGCAGCAGUGGGGAAUAUUGCACAAUGGGGGAAACCCUGAUGCAGCCAUGCCGCGUGUGUGAAGAAGGCCUUCGGGUUGUAAAGCACUUUCAGCGAGGAGGAAAGGUCAGUAGCUAAUAUCUGCUGGCUGUGACGUUACUCGCAGAAGAAGCACCGGCUAACUCCGUGCCAGCAGCCGCAGUAA
Molecule: ribosomal RNA, 508 nt
Filed under: uncultured bacterium
Lineage: Bacteria
Description: partial 16S ribosomal RNA
Rfam family: Bacterial small subunit ribosomal RNA
Source: RNAcentral